This 74-nucleotide transfer RNA is filed under the name Kapaibacterium sp. (SeqCode). RNAcentral's name for it is "tRNA-Arg". It matches the Rfam family "tRNA". Rfam says of the family: Transfer RNA (tRNA) molecules are approximately 80 nucleotides in length. Their secondary structure includes four short double-helical elements and three loops (D, anti-codon, and T loops). The record is from RNAcentral. Lineage: Bacteria; Pseudomonadati; Bacteroidota; Eximiradiia; Eximiradiales; Kapaibacteriaceae (SeqCode).
GCGCCCGUAGCUCAACUGGAUAGAGCAUCGGUUUCCGGUUCCGAAGGCUGGAGGUUCGACCCCUCUCGGGCGUA